UUGAGAUUCCUAGGUCAAAGCCUUCUGCAAAGUUAGUCGUCCCCCCUUCUAGUGAGAACGCCAAAUAGAAGAACACACAAAGAAGAAAUGGAGCAAGAGAUCCUCUAGAGAAUACACAUAAUGCAACAAGAACCCAAAGGAGAAUCCUGCCGUCAGCUCUGCUAUGAAAAACAACUCCGAUGACGAUACCCCAAUAAAAGCCACUGGAUGAGAUGAUGGAGGUUAUCCAUUCGAUUGGUAGUAGUGGUGUCCUGGCCACAAUGAAUCAUCCUAGUUUGAGCAGAUGAGUGCAUGGGCUUUCACUCUUAUGUAUGGGAGCCCUCAGAAUGUAUAUAGAAGAAAGGAAGAUCAUAUAGCCUGGGAGCACUCUUCAGAUGGAACUUUCAAUUUGAAAUCUGCCUAUCAAGUUAUCUAUGGCAAUUCAAGAUUAUUUGGAGGUGGAAAGGCCAAGAGAGGAUCCGUUCAUUCGUUUGGUUGGUUGGUAAUGGAGACAUCACUCAUAUUUAGCCCACUGCCCUUGCUAUAACAAUCAUGAGGAAUCUACUCUUCAUACUCUUCGGAAUUGCACAUACGCCAAACUUGUAUAGAACUAUUUCUACCCUCAAGGUGUGGUGGCUGAUUUGAGCAUUUGAGAUUGGUUGUUGAUCAAUCUUCAAGCGAAAGGAGAUUGACCAUAUAGAUUGGAACACUAAAUUAAGUCCUCUAUUAUAACAUAAUAAAAACUACAUCAUAUGCCAGAGAGUAAACUGGCCUA
Molecule: long non-coding RNA, 754 nt
Organism: Arachis duranensis
Lineage: Eukaryota; Viridiplantae; Streptophyta; Magnoliopsida; Fabales; Fabaceae
Exons: 2
Source: RefSeq, a predicted model, not a curated record